UACAGAGGGUGCGAGCGUUAAUCGGAAUUACUGGGCGUAAAGGGUGCGUAGGUGGUUAGAUAAGUUAGGUGUGAAAUCCCUGGGCUCAACCUGGGAAUGGCGCUUAAUACUGUCAGACUAGAGUACAGUAGAGGAAAGUAGAAUUUCCGGUGUAGCGGUGAAAUGCGUAGAUAUCGGAAGGAAUACCAGUGGCGAAGGCGGCUUUCUGGACUGAUACUGACACUGAGGCACGAAAGCGUGGGUAGCAAAC
This 250-nucleotide ribosomal RNA is filed under the name uncultured bacterium. RNAcentral describes it as "partial 16S ribosomal RNA". It matches the Rfam family "Bacterial small subunit ribosomal RNA", at positions 524 to 773 of the family's 1533-position model. The record is from RNAcentral.